GACGAACGCUGGCGGCGUGCUUAACACAUGCAAGUCGAGCGGUAAGGCCCUUCGGGGUACACGAGCGGCGAACGGGUGAGUAACACGUGGGUGACCUGCCUCUAGCUCUGGGAUAAGCCUGGGAAACUGGGUCUAAUACCGGAUAUGACUCCACGGCGCAUGUUGUGGGGUGGAAAGCCUUGUGUGGCUAGAGAUGGGCCCGCGGCCUAUCAGCUUGUUGGNGGGGUNAGGCCCUACCAAGGCGACGACGGGUAGCCGGCCUGAGAGGGCGACCGGCCACACUGGGACUGAGAC
RNAcentral lists this ribosomal RNA (294 nucleotides) under uncultured bacterium. RNAcentral's name for it is "partial 16S ribosomal RNA". It matches the Rfam family "Bacterial small subunit ribosomal RNA", at positions 28 to 325 of the family's 1533-position model. The record is from RNAcentral.